Molecule: ribosomal RNA, 254 nt
Filed under: Klebsiella pneumoniae
Lineage: Bacteria; Pseudomonadati; Pseudomonadota; Gammaproteobacteria; Enterobacterales; Enterobacteriaceae
Also listed under: 1 other name
Description: partial 23S ribosomal RNA
Rfam family: Bacterial large subunit ribosomal RNA
Source: RNAcentral
CCUAGUACGAGAGGACCGGAGUGGACGCAUCACUGGUGUUCGGGUUGUCAUGCCAAUGGCACUGCCCGGUAGCUAAAUGCGGAAGAGAUAAGUGCUGAAAGCAUCUAAGCACGAAACUUGCCCCGAGAUGAGUUCUCCCUGAGACUUUAAGUCUCCUGAAGGAACGUUGAAGACGACGACGUUGAUAGGCCGGGUGUGUAAGCGCAGCGAUGCGUUGAGCUAACCGGUACUAAUGAACCGUGAGGCUUAACCUU